Molossus molossus (Pallas's mastiff bat) is the source of this 136-nucleotide small nucleolar RNA. RefSeq annotates it as small nucleolar RNA SNORA29. The record is from RefSeq and is a predicted model, not a curated record. NCBI's taxonomy places the organism in Eukaryota, Metazoa, Chordata, Mammalia, Chiroptera, Molossidae. The transcript has a single exon.
UUUCUAGUUUGACUGAAACAUUUUCUCCUAAUAAUAGGUUUUAGUGGCUAUGCUUAUGGGAUAGAUUAAAAUUGCCAUGAUCUGAAAAUGAUUUAUUUGUUUCCUCCUCCUAUAUGAAAUGGCUGAAUAGAAAAUU